Molecule: ribosomal RNA, 503 nt
Filed under: Salmonella enterica subsp. enterica serovar Oranienburg
Lineage: Bacteria; Pseudomonadati; Pseudomonadota; Gammaproteobacteria; Enterobacterales; Enterobacteriaceae
Also listed under: 3 other names
Description: partial 23S ribosomal RNA
Rfam family: Bacterial large subunit ribosomal RNA
Source: RNAcentral
GGGCGUUAAGUUGCAGGGUAUAGACCCGAAACCCGGUGAUCUAGCCAUGGGCAGGUUGAAGGUUGGGUAACACUAACUGGAGGACCGAACCGACUAAUGUUGAAAAAUUAGCGGAUGACCUGUGGCUGGGGGUGAAAGGCCAAUCAAACCGGGAGAUAGCUGGUUCUCCCCGAAAGCUAUUUAGGUAGCGCCUCGUGAAUUCAUCUCCGGGGGUAGAGCACUGUUUCGGCUAGGGGGCCAUCCCGGCUUACCAACCCGAUGCAAACUGCGAAUACCGGAGAAUGUUAUCACGGGAGACACACGGCGGGUGCUAACGUCCGUCGUGAAGAGGGAAACAACCCAGACCGCCAGCUAAGGUCCCAAAGUCAUGGUUAAGUGGGAAACGAUGUGGGAAGGCCCAGACAGCCAGGAUGUUGGCUUAGAAGCAGCCAUCAUUUAAAGAAAGCGUAAUAGCUCACUGGUCGAGUCGGCCUGCGCGGAAGAUGUAACGGGGCUAAACCAUG